RNAcentral lists this long non-coding RNA (3525 nucleotides) under Sus scrofa (pig). Its description in RNAcentral is "lncRNA (ENSSSCG00000059187.1)". The record is from RNAcentral. Lineage: Eukaryota; Metazoa; Chordata; Mammalia; Artiodactyla; Suidae.
CAAUCCCACUCCUGGGCAUCUAUCCAGAAAAAAAAAAGAUACACAUAUUCCAGUGUUCAUUGCAGUACUGUUACCAAUAGCCAAAACAUGGAAGCAACCUAAAUAUCCAUCAAGACAGGAAUGGAUGAAGAAGCUACGGCACGUAUAUACAACAGAGUAUGACUCAUUCAUAAAAAAAGAAUAAAAUCAUGCCAUUUGCAGCAACAUGGAUGCACCUAGAGAUUAUCACACUUAGUGACGUUAAUCAGACAAAGACAUCAUAUGACAUCGCUUAUACGUGGAAUAAUUUUUUAAAAAGGACACGAAUGAACUUAUUUGCAGAAUAGAAAGAGACAAACUUUGGAUUGUUUCAUAUAUAUUGAUUAACCUUAUCAAUCCUUUGAGGUAGGUACCAUUAUUACUAUUCCCAUUUUUGCUGAUAAGUUAACAAAGGCACACAUAGGUUAAAUGACUUACCCUUCUGCUCAGUAGCAGAGAUGGGAUUCAAAGUAAGCAGUCAAGCUCCAGAAUCUGUUUUCUUUAUUACUAUAAUACCAUGAAUAAGUGAAAUAAUAAACCUUAUCACUUAAAAACAUUCAGAAAAGGAAUCUAUAUGUCCUGUUCUCAAAUUCAGGAUAAGUUAAGUUUAUUAGUUCUGCUUCCUCUUUGUGUAUCUGUGUAUAAGAAACAUUAUGUGAUGGUGCUUCCACUUUUGACUUAUCCACAGGUACACCAGGAAGUGGAAAUGAUUCCCAUGGAAUGUGAUGCUAUCACUGUGAAGGUCAAUGUGUCUGCAUUUUGUUUAAUAAUUAAGAAUAUACAGAUUGGCAUAUAAGACCAGCCUGAUCUUAUUAUCUGGCGCCCACUCCACAGCCAAACAAAACUACAUGUGGCCUCCCUUCCGAGGUUCUAUGUGACCCUGGGCCAGGCUGAUCAGGUGACCGCAAAGUCAAAGAGUAAAUUUAAAACAUGGUAGGGAUUCAAAGCCAAGGAAUGAGUUGGUAAAGUAGUAAGAAAAAGGACAAAGUAUAACCCUAUGUAGGGGAUGAGUCAAGUGUUGGAAAGUCAUAAAGAUCCACACUAGAUUGUGAAGAGGACAUAAGCAGGUCAGGGUGAGUGGGACUACUGAGUCUACUUUGCUGAUUCUUCUGUGAUGUCUAAUUAAGACAGGAGGGAUUUCCAAACAUCCUAGUUUUGUGGCUGACUCCUUAAAAAUCUGUCUUCAGUGAAUUUAUCUAAGCUAUAUCUUAAAAUGUUAACAUGUUUAGCUAGAAACUGGACAUCAAACAGGAAGAGAAGUUAUAAAUUAUCUAUGUAUCACUUUCACUUUAAAAUAAGUCAACUCUUCACAAAAAAGUGAAGCCUUUGGUCUGUAAUCACUCAGUUAAAGCAACAUACAAGUAUGCAAAAUAGCAGACCCUGUAGAAAGUGAAAUUCCCUUGUUUAUCCUAAAUUGUUUUUUGUUGUUGUUGUUGUUGUUGUUUUUGUAAUUUUCCAAGGUAUCCCCCACAACCUACUUUGGGAAUACUGUAAAUGAAUAAUAAGUCAAACUUCCAUACAGAAGUAGUCUCCAUUCUUGCCUGUAAAAGUCCUCCGUUUAAAAAAAAAUGUUUUUUUACCAUUUCAUGGAGGCACCAUCCAUUCAUGAAUGAGUGACUGGAAAUGCAUAAUGAAUUCAGGUGAAUGAAUACAAAGUGGCAUCUUGAUCACAAUCACCUUCUGAUCUCUACUGCCCCUUGUCAAGAUGUGUGUUGCAGAUGGACACAGCACAGGGAAGUGGGCCAGAUUUGCCCCUUCAGAAUUCUGAGUUCUCCUUUAUAGAUAGAGAUUAAAUAAGUUGGCAUUAUCAGCUUCCCAAUGUGAUAUACCAAAGAUAUAUGUCACCUAUGUAAUAUUCAGGCAAAAAAGUUUAACUUGAAUCCAAUCAUGAGAAAUAAUCAAGCAAACCAUAGUGAGGGAUAUAGCUUUAUGGUCUGUAACAUAAAUGACCUGGACUUUUUGAAAAUAUCAUUAAUGUCUUUAAAUGUUUAAAAAAAAAAGCUUUAUUGACUGACAUUUAUAGAGACAUGAUGAAUGAACGAUGUGAUUCUUGAGUGAAUCUCGAAUCAGGUAGAAAAGCCAUAAAUAAUAUGUCUGAGGCAAUUAGAGAAAUUAAAAUAUUGAGGGAACAUUAGAUAACGGAAUUGCAUUGAUCCCAAAUGUCCUGAUCAUUGUAUGAUCAUUGUAUUGUGGUUGUGUGGACCCUUCUUAUUCUAAAAAUCCACAUGCUGAAGUGUUUACAGAUAAAGUUUCUUAAUAUCUGCAAUUAACUCUAAAAUGGUUAGGCCAAAAAGAAAUAUAUGUGAAUGUGUGUAUGUAUGUAUACACACACACACACACACACACACACACACACACACACACACAAAGAUAGGUUGAAAAAAAAAACAUACGUGGCAAAAGGUGAACAAUGGAUGUAUCGAGGUGGAAAGAAUAGCAACAUUCUUUGUACUAUUUUUAUAACAUUGCUUUAUAUUUUAAACUAUUUAAAAUCAAUAGUUUAGGGAGGAAAAUAAGGAAUAAAUCUUAUACUCUAAACAAGAUAGAAAACAUGCAAUCUACACAUCAUAAGUAGUGAAGUAAUAUGUUGAAUGAGUGAAUAAAGCAAUGAAGAGCUCAGGGAUACUCCUUAUGCCUACCUCAGUAUUUCUCCCCACAGUCCUUUAAGAGCUGUAAAUGCUAGAUUUACCAGCUUUUUUCUUUAGAUUAGACCUGAUCUUACUUGAAAUCCCUAGUUAAGAUGAAAACAUUAUUGGAAAGAUCAACCACAUACAUUCACCUCAUUUUCUAGUUAACCUGAUCAUUUCUUUUUUUCUGUUACAGCCCUUAGAAAAUUAUUUAGUCUUUUCAUUCUUCAAAUUUCUCACCUUUGAAAUGGGGAAAAUGAUGCCUUUAUUGUUGUGAGGAAUAAAUAUGACAGUGAAUUAAAAUGCUCACACUUAAUUAGAACUUGAUAAAUGGUAGAUAUUAUUAUUAUUAUGCAUGGACAAAGUUCCACUUACUUUCCUGGCUAUUUCCUGCUAAUGCUUUCCAUAUUACUUCCCAAUAUAAUCAUAAUAUAAAAAUUAUGGUGGAAAAAUAAUAGGAACUCUCUUGUGCCCAGAGUGUCAUAAAUGUUUCAGCCACAUGAUAUAAUUUAAUUCUUGCAAAAAUCCUGCAGAUUAUAUCUGUUAUUACUGCUUUAUUGAUGAGGAAGCCAAAGUUCAGAGAAUGUAAGAGGCUUACUUAAGUACCCGGGGUGAAGAAGCUAAGAUUGAAUCCUAGUCUACCUGAUUCCACACCACCCUCAACCAGUACAGCAGCACACUGCCCUGAAUCUUUACUAAUUUUGACCAGAGAAGACUCAUUUUGAGCCUCUCUUAAUGGACAUACCCAUAUGUCCAUUAAUUAUAACACCCAUUUUCAAGUCAUUUCAAGUCAUGCAAGUUUAGACUCCAGCGCUUUCCAAUGCAUAACGUUGACAAAGUCAAUUAUAUUUUAUGAGUUUUAUUUUUUGGUCUAUAAAAU